Molecule: ribosomal RNA, 796 nt
Filed under: uncultured bacterium
Lineage: Bacteria
Description: bacterial SSU rRNA
Rfam family: Bacterial small subunit ribosomal RNA
Source: RNAcentral
AGAGUUUGAUCAUGGCUCAGGAUGAACGCUAGCGGUAGGCCUUAACACAUGCAAGUCGAACGAAAAAUUAUAUUUUUAGUGGCGCACGGGUGAGUAAUACGUGAGAAUCUAACUUUAGGAAGAGGAUAGCAUUUAGAAAUAUUUGCUAAUACUCUAUAAAGUCGCUUAAUUUAAUCGGAAGUUAUAAAAAACUAAAGAAAGGUUAAGUAUUGACUAAAGAAGAAAUUCGCCUAAAAAAGAGCUUACGCCUGAUUAGCUGGUUGGUAAGGUAAUGGCUUACCAAGGCGAUGAUCAGUAGCUGAUUUGGGAGAAUGAUCAGCCACACUGGAAUUGAAAUACGGUCCAGACUCCUACGGGAGGCAGCAGUGGGGAAUAUUCUGCAAUGGGCGAAAGCUUGACAGAGCAAUACCGCGUGAGGGAUGAAGGCUUACGAGUUGUAAACCUCUUUAUCAAGGAAGAAGUUAUGACGCUACUUGAAAAUAAAGCAUCGGGUAACUUUGUGCCAGCAGCCGCGGCGAUACAGGGGAUGCAAGCGUUAUCCAAAUUUAUUGGGCGUAAAGCGUCUGUAGGUGGACAUUUACGUCUUUAAUUAAAAAUUCUAUAACUUAAUUUAGAUUAUAUUAAAGAGACUAUUUGUCUAGAGUAAUUUUGUAGGGGUAAAGGGAAUUUUCAGUGUAGCGGUGAAAUGCCUCGAUAUUGAAAGGAACACCGAGGGCGAAAGCACUUUACUAGAUAAUUACUGACACUAAGAGACGAAAGCUGGGGGAGCAAACAGGAUUAGAUACCCUAGUAGUCC